ACAAAAACACUCCCAAACAACAAACCAAAACAAAAACAAACACCACUCCCAAACAAAAACAAAAAAACAAACACAAACAAACGCCCUCUAAUGGCGACCGAAGCGGCCCCAACUACUCCACAACCAGCUAAUAACCACAAAGCAAAGACUACCUCCUUGCAAGACUAGACUAGCUCCUUGCGCCUCCGUCAGCAGCGCGUCAAAGGAAUCGAUCAACAUGUCUCCCGUCCUGCCACAUCAGUCAAAAAAAGCAAAAACGUGAGAAGUGUUUAAUGUGAAGUGUAUUUUUUUCUUUUCUCUUUUUUAUUUACCAAUAUGGCUUAUAUUUGUUCUGUGUGUGAUAUUCCGUUUUAUACAUUCGGAAUAAAAAGUUUUAAAAGAAUCCA
This is a non-coding RNA of Penaeus vannamei (Pacific white shrimp), 386 nucleotides long. Lineage: Eukaryota; Metazoa; Arthropoda; Malacostraca; Decapoda; Penaeidae. The record is from RefSeq and is a predicted model, not a curated record.